Molecule: ribosomal RNA, 801 nt
Filed under: uncultured organism
Description: bacterial SSU rRNA
Rfam family: Bacterial small subunit ribosomal RNA
Source: RNAcentral
AGGUCUAACAGGGAUUAUGAAAUUUAUUAUACCUAAUACGUAUAAUACUUGACAUCAAUCCCAGAUGAAGUCACGGCUAAGUUCGUGCCAUCAGCCGCGGUAAUACCAGAUGUGGCAAGCGUUGGUCGGAAUCACUGGGCAUACAGGGCACGUACGUGGUGCAGAACGUUAAUUGUGAAAGCCCUCGGCUUAACCGACGAAUUGCAAGCUAAAACCGGUGCGCUAGAGUACAGAAGGGGAGAGCGGAAGUCUAGAUGUAGCGGUGGAAUGCGACGAUAUGUAGGAGAAGCCCGUGCCGGAAAGCGACUCUCUAUUCUGUUACCGACACUGAGGUGAGAGAGCGUAGCUAGCGAACGGGAUUAGAUACCCCGGUAGUCUACGCCGUAAACGAUGGGCACUAGAUGCUGGAGGCGCCGAUAGCUUCCUCCGUCGAAGCAAAUGCGCUAAGAGCCCCGCCUGGGGAAUAUGACCGCAAGGUUAAAAGUCAAAGGAAUUGACGGGGGCCCACACAAGCGGUGGAGGAUGUGGCUUAAUUCGAGGACACGCGCAGAACCUUACCGAGGUUUGACAUGCAGGUGGUAGUGAUACGAAAGUUGAACGACCCGUUCAGGGAGCCUGCACAGGUGCUGCAUGGCAGUCGACAGUUCGUGUUGUGAAAUGUUAGGUUAAGUCCUGUAACGAGCGAAACCCUUGUGCCUAUUUGCCAGCGCGUCAUGGCGGGGACUAUAGGCAGACUGCCUCGGCUAACGGGGAGGAAGUCGGGGAUGACGUCAAGUCAGCAUGGCCCUUAUGCCUCGGACU